This is an RNA transcript of Tripterygium wilfordii, 2591 nucleotides long. It is a transcript of the gene named axial regulator YABBY 4, with no coding region annotated. The transcript has 9 exons. NCBI's taxonomy places the organism in Eukaryota, Viridiplantae, Streptophyta, Magnoliopsida, Celastrales, Celastraceae. The record is from RefSeq and is a predicted model, not a curated record.
UCUUUGUUUCUUCAUACGUGGACACUCUACAAUUCUUUUGUUUCUUUUUCAGACGCUCUCAGCUCUCUCCCUAUUUCUCCAAUACACUCUCUCCAAACGUCUCCUGCGGCAAUAAAAGAAACGAAAAAAAACGGAUGAUCUCAAAGCCCUUUUUUGUUCUACGUUUGCUGCUCCCCUUCUCUAUUUCCAUCUCCCAAUUAAACAUGCCCGUUUCCAUAUCCCACAAAAUCGACAAUCGAUUCUGCGGAGCUGUUGUUCCUCUGGUGUUUACGUGCUUGAUUGUCAUAGCCCACAAAAGUUGCAACCAAUUGAUGCUCCCUUUGUUGCUUCCUUGCUUGGUUUCCAUACCCUACAAAAUCUACAAUCGAUUCUGCGGAGUGGAGCUGUUGUCCGUUUGGUGUUUCCGUGCUCGAUUUCCAUAGCCCACCGAUUGAGUCGGCAAAAAUCCUUGAAUCUCUAUUUCAGUUUCGUAAAGGGGAAAAUAUUCGAAUUCAUAGCCCAUCGAAUACCGUCUUCUCCAUCAAAUUAAAGGCAACCAAAGGAGACGACUAAAGCAGUAAUAAUAUUUGACAACUCACCUAUAUUUCAAUGAGAAGAACGUUUGGUAGCCAUGCUUAGCUGCACUAAUCAUAAUAUUUAUGAUUAGGUCUUCAGGUGGUGGUGGUUCUGGCCUUCUAGGUUUGUGAUCUGGAUCAAAAUCAGAAUAAAGGAGUGAUUCCUUAUAAAGUUGGUCCCGAAGUUAGCUUUUUGGAGGGAAUCAUUUGCAUUAUUUGUGAACUUCUCCCUUAUUUUCUUGAGCACCCAGUGCCAUAAUUCUGUACAAUCAGCCCCCUAAUUUUUUCCGUCCUGCUUCGCUUGAAGAAAAAAGAAUAAGAUUAGAGAAACAUCUUACUUAGCCUACCUCAUGUUCAUGAUUGUGUUAGCAAUGGAACCAUCGGAUUGGACAACCAUCUUUUUCAUGGAACUUUAUUUACCACCCAAGUUGGUGUUGAUGUUCUAUUAAAGUCAAAUAGACCAUCGCUUAUUGUUAGCAGUGCAAGCUGGUCCGGGAUUGGUCUCUUCUCUAAGAUCCCCAUUUGGCACCUUUGAUUUGAUUUUUGUUUCUGCAAUCGUUUCAAUUAAUAUGGAGUUUCCUAAUUUGGCCGUUGCUACAAUGUAUGUUUGGACUUGCUCCAACUCUCAAAUGCGCAGGAUUGAAUUAUUAAUCUCCUCUGACCUUCUUUUGGCUUCUCCAUCUCUGAUAUUUAGUCCAGGCAUUCAAUAUUUGUGGGUGGCCGAUUUCCCAUGUUUGAAUGGAAUGAUCCACAACAAAGAUGUGAGGUUUAUCUCAUCUCAUAUCUUCUGCAACGUUGAUAAAAUAACUUUCUGGCUUUCUGCUUAUUGAACACUUUAUAAGGAUUCUUUUUGGAAGAGAAGGUACAUCAGUCAAGCAUAAAGAUUUACAAUGAUUUUCUUUUACCUAUUUACGGUGUGGUAAACAUUGGUACUUAGAAGGGUCUGUCAUUGCACUGCUUCUUUUAGAAAUUGAUAUUUUUCCUGACGUUGGAACCUAUAGGCCAUUGCAAUUACUUGACACGAGAAUCUCCAUAAAGAGAAUGCAUGGUCCUUAUAAUAUUUGAAGGUUUUGAUGGUAGCCAGUGAUUAGUGGGAUAUGUGUCAGAGAAGCACCAAAGGUUAGUGAACUGAUAUGUUGAUUACUAAUGCAUGUAGUAACAAAAGACAUUGGAUGGCUCCAUUUCUAUGUUGGGCCCCCUUCUUUAGUAAUCAGGAAAAGAGAAGGUCAAAACCUCAUGUUUGUAGUAUGCUAUGAUGUGUUCCUGGAUUUUGCUCAUUUCAGCCAUUCAACUCAACAUGCCUUGGAUGCACUACUGCUUGAUUUUUUGCUCUAUGUAGUGGUGCUGUCAGCCUAUCAAUUCUUCUGCGCAAGUGAGGGCAGGAAAAAGACCUUCAAGGUAUUCCAUGGGAGAGAUUGAACAUAACGACACAAGUGUAUGGGUUGACGAGGCUUGAUCAGUAAAAGAAUUGCAAGAACAUUCCUUCAUCAAAGUAAGUUGUGGACAAGACUCAUAUUUACUUUUCUUAAUAUCUGUUUUGGUCCUUAUCUGAUUUGCAGGCAUGAAAUAAUGGUAAAUAUAUGUAGUUAGCUAAUUUGAUUCAGGUGUAUUACACUAACCAUAGAUAUAACGGGUUGCAAAUAUGGCAGCACCAAAUGUUUCUGGUCUUCAUGAACUUGGUUGGCUCUCUAAUUUUAUCUCUAAUUUUAUGGUGUGCCACUACAUAUUAGGAGAAAUUUUUGGACUUUUGUUAAUGUGAUUCUAGAUAGAUUCUUUCUAAAUGGUAAACGUAUGAAUUUUGCUAUUUCAUAAUCUGUUCAUGUAAGAAUGCAUAUUAUUUGAAAAAAAAAAUUCGAUGAGCUACGAGUGUAGCAUAUCAGAAACCAGGGAUGUAGAUUGGACAAACAUUCAGGGAGAUAACGAUUUGAAUUAGUAUGGUACUAUUUUCAAUAAAUAAUUAUUAAAAAUCAAUUCGACAAUCACAAUAAUUAAUUUUUUUUUCCAUAUCACAACGUGUGAAACUUUAACAAAAAAAUU